Molecule: long non-coding RNA, 653 nt
Organism: Populus nigra (black poplar)
Lineage: Eukaryota; Viridiplantae; Streptophyta; Magnoliopsida; Malpighiales; Salicaceae
Exons: 4
Source: RefSeq, a predicted model, not a curated record
CUUCUGGAGUCUUCCAUAGCAUCAAGCGCCACUCUUUUUCUAGUUGCCAUAGCUUGUUGUCCGAAACAGAGGCUGAUUUUGUUUCAAAAGGUGCGAAAUUUGUGGAUCGCUCGCUCUCUCCCUCCCCGUCUCCGACCGGUUUCUGCCAGAAUUUUCAGGAAUUCUGAUUGACCACUGCCCGCUCAGUCAACCAAUCGAUCAACAAUGACUCAUAUCCUUUGCUGACGAUCACGAACGCGGUAACCAAAGAGAAAGAGACCGUGAAAGGGCUCAAGCCAGGGCAGGCCAUAAAACAAAGAAUUCCAAAGAUGACGGACUAACACCUGAACAACGCCGCGAAAGAGACGCGAAGGCUUUACAGGAAAAGGCAGCGAGAAAAGCUGCGCAGGCAGCGGCUGGAGGGAAUAAUGCUGGAGGUAGAGGAGGUAAAAGCACCAAGAAUUGAUAGGGAGGCAUAGAGAUUUGUGUAGUUGGGAAUGAUUGUACAAGUUCAGGUCUUGGUUUCUGGUUUUCUGGAGUGAUGUCUCUGUCAUUUGAGAUUUAAUAAACCAUUUGUGUAUUUCCUUGGAGAGCAUUGAUGUUGGCUUCUGAAGAACCUGUGGCUUAUAUCUGAGAUGCAAUGAAAUUCCUAUGUCCAGUUGCAGCUUGUGCAA